Long non-coding RNA from Gordionus sp. m RMFG-2023, 379 nucleotides. RefSeq lists it as uncharacterized. The record is from RefSeq and is a predicted model, not a curated record. Lineage: Eukaryota; Metazoa; Nematomorpha; Gordioida; Chordodea; Parachordodidae. The transcript has 3 exons.
UUAAAAGUCUUAUAGAACCAUCAUUAAUAUGCACAACAGCAGAUUGUUGGAGUGCCUAUCGCCGAGUUUUCAAGCCAAUUGAAAAUAAUACAAGUGAAUCAAUUGAUGAUCUGGAAGAUGAAGCAGUUGUGCCAAUUUCUAUAUCAAAUCUUUAUAAUACUGCACAGGAUUCUGAAUUAUCAGAAUCAUUUAGUUUACCUCAUCACCAAUGUUGUGCCAGUCACACAUUGAAUCUUAUAGCCACUGUGGAUGCCAAUAGAGCCAUGCAGUGUAAACAAUAUCAGAGGAUAUAUAGCACAACACUACUUAAAUGCCAAAAUAUAUGGAAUAGGCAAAAUAAGUCUCCUAUUUCAUCUGAGAUUAUUAAGGAAUAUAUUGG